Long non-coding RNA from Anas platyrhynchos (mallard), 969 nucleotides. RefSeq lists it as uncharacterized. The record is from RefSeq and is a predicted model, not a curated record. NCBI's taxonomy places the organism in Eukaryota, Metazoa, Chordata, Aves, Anseriformes, Anatidae.
CUACCUCUCUGCUCCAUCUCUUUGCUAUAAUUUGUUUAGCCAGAUUUCCUAAGAAGAUGAGACUUAUGUAUUCAUCCUCUCUGUGUAUGACUGUGUCUGUGUGUAUACAUGAAAAGCAUGUGUCUAGGCAUUUUCUUGCUGUGAUGCAUGAAGAGGUAGAUGAUUUCACAUGAUUUUUUUGGCCAGAGAAUAAAAUCGUCAUAACCAAAUAAUAAUUGGAUAGGGAGAGGAAAGGGACAGACUGUGGUAGUGCCUUGGCACAUUUCAAAGUAAUCUCUCCCAUCAUGGAAGACCAGGAAAAUUGAAAGAGAAAAUUUCUGAAUGUCUCCAUCAUGCAGAAAGCUUCAUCUGAAACUCAUGGCUAUCCCAAUGUACAUCAGUCACAGCUGUGAUGCUCUAAUCUGCUAGGCUGUAUUAAUCUGGGGACUCACAGGAUUGCUGCUUUUAUCUUUUUGCCAAUUAAGAGGUAACUCCACAAACUUAAUGUUGACUAAUCAGUUUUGGUUUCUUUUCCUUUAAAAGCAGUAAGAAAACCCUCUAAUCAAAGACUGUGUGUUGAUCGUUUGUUAGUGGAAUACUCUGUAUGAAAAGAUGAAUAAACUUGUGUCUGUCUCUGCAUCUUGCAGAAGGAGAGCUUUCUUCAUUCCUCUGCAAGCCAAGAUGAAUCCCUUCUGUUUGGUGCUGCCACGCACGAGCAGAGGGACAGGAUAAGACCAGUUCAACAAAAGGGCAAUUUACUUGGAAAUACAAAUAUAUCUCAUUGCUUCUACUCCAUGGGUUCUUGCCUGGCCCUGUGAAUUCCUGAAGUUUGCACUCAUCUAACUCCCUAGACAUUCACGGGAAAUGUGGGAGAAUGAAGACUACAUGUGCUAAUAUUUGCAGUUAACAACAUCCCCCCCAUUCUUGUGUAAAUAGCGCAAGUUCAUCCAUCACUGUGUAAUCAGGAGACUGUCAGGAUCUACCAGCUAC